UACGAAGGGGGCUAGCGUUGCUCGGAAUCACUGGGCGUAAAGCGCACGUAGGCGGACUCUUAGGUCGGUGGUGAAAUCCCGUGGCUCAACCAUGGACGUGCAUUCGAAACUGCGAGGCUUGAGUAUGGAAGAGGGUCGCGGAAUUCCCGGUGUAGAGGUGAAAUUCGUAGAUAUCGGGAGGAACACCAGUGGCGAAGGCGGCGACCUGGGCCAAUACUGACGCUGAGGUGCGAAAGCGUGGGGAGCAAACAGG
RNAcentral lists this ribosomal RNA (253 nucleotides) under uncultured bacterium. RNAcentral's name for it is "partial 16S ribosomal RNA". It matches the Rfam family "Bacterial small subunit ribosomal RNA", at positions 524 to 776 of the family's 1533-position model. The record is from RNAcentral.